RNAcentral lists this non-coding RNA (32 nucleotides) under Rattus norvegicus (Norway rat). Lineage: Eukaryota; Metazoa; Chordata; Mammalia; Rodentia; Muridae. The record is from RNAcentral.
UCUGGUGACAAUGUUAGAGAACGCUUACCAUU